AGAGUUUGAUCAUGGCUCAGAACGAACGCUGGCGGCGUGGAUAAGACAUGCAAGUCGGACGAGAUUUUUCGUUGUAGCAAUACGAUGGAAAAUUUAGUGGCGAACGGGUGCUUAACACGUGGGCAACCUGCCAAGAAGUGGGGGACAGCUCGCCGAAAGGCGGAUUAAUACCGCAUGUGAUUAGAGAGGACAUCCUUUCGAAAUUAAAGUCGGGGCAACCUGACGCUUCUUGUGGGGCCCGCGGCCUAUCAGCUAGUUGGUGAGGUAACGGCUCACCAAGGCUUUGACGGGUAGCUGGUCUGAGAGGACGACCAGCCACACUGGGACUGAGACACGGCCCAGACACCUACGGGUGGCAGCAGUCGAGAAUUUUUGACAAUGGGGGAAACCCUGAUCGAGCGACGCCGCGUGGAGGAUGAAGGUCUUCGGAUUGUAAACUCCUGUCAUUGGGGAACAAUGCACAGAUAUUAACUGUAUUUGUGUUGAUAGUACCCGAAGAGGAAGAGACGGCUAACUCUGUGCCAGCAGCCGCGGUAAUACAGAGGUCUCAAGCGUUGUUCGGAUUCAUUGGGCGUAAAGGGUGCGUAGGCGGCGCGGUAAGUCGGGUGUGAAAUCUCGGAGCUUAACUCCGAAACUGCAUUCGAUACUGCCGUGCUUGAGGACUGGAGAGGAGACUGGAAUUUACGGUGUAGCGGUGAAAUGCGUAGAUAUCGUAAGGAAGACCAGUGGCGAAGGCGGGUCUCUGGACAGUUCCUGACGCUGAGGCACGAAGGUCAGGGGAGCAAACGGGAUUAGAUACCCUAGUAGUCC
Molecule: ribosomal RNA, 810 nt
Filed under: uncultured bacterium
Lineage: Bacteria
Description: bacterial SSU rRNA
Rfam family: Bacterial small subunit ribosomal RNA
Source: RNAcentral